GACGAACGCUGGCGGCGUGCUUAACACAUGCAAGUCGAACGAUGAUCAGGAGCUUGCUCCUGUGAUUAGUGGCGAACGGGUGAGUAACACGUGAGUAACCCGCCCCUGACUCUGGGAUAAGCGUUGGAAACGACGUCUAAUACUGGAUAUGAUCACUGGCCGCAUGGUCUGGUGGUGGAAAGAUUUGUUGGUUGGGGAUGGACUCGCGGCCUAUCAGCUUGUUGGUGAGGUAAUGGCUCACCAAGGCGACGACGGGUAGCCGGCCUGAGAGGGUGACCGGCCACACUGGGACUGAGACACGGCCCAGACUCCUACGGGAGGCAGCAGUGGGGAAUAUUGCACAAUGGGCGGAAGCCUGAUGCAGCAACGCCGCGUGAGGGAUGACGGCCUUCGGGUUGUAAACCUCUUUUAGUAGGGAAGAAGCGAGAGUGACGGUAACUGGAGAAAAAGCACCGGCUAACUACGUG
RNAcentral lists this ribosomal RNA (467 nucleotides) under uncultured bacterium. RNAcentral's name for it is "partial 16S ribosomal RNA". It matches the Rfam family "Bacterial small subunit ribosomal RNA", at positions 28 to 507 of the family's 1533-position model. The record is from RNAcentral.